GGAAUUCGGCAAAAUAGGACCAGAUGACGGGGCCACUGCCGCCCAAGCUGUAAUGAAACAACAGGAACAGCAACAAAUAGGCAACAAAAGCCGUAAUGUAUUGAAAUGUGUUUUUACGCGCCAAACAGCAAAUUGUAUCUGAAGCUGCCAAGAGGGCUUUAAAUACAAAGAAAAGUCUGGCUUUGUGCUCUGUGUGUGCCCCUGUGCUGAGAGUUGUGAGAGUUACACUCUUUGUUGUUAUUAUUGUUUUUUCCAUUGGCCUGUGUGAAUGCAUACAAAUGACAAGAUUCAGCAAACAGGGUUGCCGCUGUUUGGAUAUUUCGCAUUAAUGGAGAGCAUAGAGAAGGAAAAUAUUGGAUUUCGACAAAUAACAGUCUAAUUACAAGUCCAUACACCACCCAUCCAAGACCAAACUGUCUAUCCAUACACCUUUGAAUGCCGCACCAUAGAAAAUACUAUACACAGCAAUGACGACAACACCAACAAUAACAGCAACAACAAGAAGCUAUCAGUCCCCUAAUUUGAUUUGAUUUUUGAGUGAAGAGCCAGCCAGCCAGUGAUCAACCUAUACAAGCCGGGAAUUCGUACAUGGCGGCGUCACAGCAUGAGCAUCAUUUUAAAUAUUUGACAAAAUAAAUACCCACAUAUCAACCAAAUUCAAUUCAUAUGAAGUAAACGAUAUACAAUACAAUAAAAAAAAUCUACAGAAGCACCACCAGCGGCAACAACAACGACAACAAUACAAAAACCAUGCACACACAACACAACUGCACAUCUUAAAUGAUAGUACAUUUACAACAAAAACAAAUAACAUAAAGAAAACUGAUGUGAAGCGAUAUGUAGUGUGGACAACGGUCACAAAGAAGAGAUCUGUGUGACAAGUGCCAUGUAAUGUAAGUAGAAAGUAGGAAGAGCAUACAAAAAUAACUAAAAUUGUCCGAGAGUGUGUGAGAGAGAGAGAGAGAGAGAGAAAUAGACAUACUUUACCAUACUUAAUGAUAGUGAGAGCGUGAGAAUAAUAAACAGUGCUAACUGUAGAGUAGCUAGCACAAGCACACUUACUUGUUUAUAUUUGAUUAGCUAUCAUAA
Long non-coding RNA from Stomoxys calcitrans (stable fly), 1089 nucleotides. RefSeq lists it as uncharacterized. The transcript is spliced from 3 exons. The record is from RefSeq and is a predicted model, not a curated record. NCBI's taxonomy places the organism in Eukaryota, Metazoa, Arthropoda, Insecta, Diptera, Muscidae.